RNAcentral lists this ribosomal RNA (253 nucleotides) under uncultured bacterium. RNAcentral describes it as "partial 16S ribosomal RNA". It matches the Rfam family "Bacterial small subunit ribosomal RNA", at positions 524 to 776 of the family's 1533-position model. The record is from RNAcentral.
UACAGAGGGGGCAAGCGUUGUUCGGAAUUAUUGGGCGUAAAGGGUGCGUAGGCGGUGCGGUAAGUCCUCUGUGAAAUCUCCGGGCUCAACUCGGAGCCUGCAGGAGAAACUGCCGUGCUUGAGUAUGGGAGAGGUGAGUGGAAUUCCUGGUGUAGCGGUGAAAUGCGUAGAUAUCAGGAGGAACACCUGUGGCGAAAGCGGCUCACUGGACCAUAACUGACGCUGAGGCACGAAAGCUAGGGGAGCAAACAGG